GCUCCAAUAGCUUACCUCUAAAGCAUUGUCCUUGUAAGACAAAGCCGGAUUAUCAACCCUUAGAGCA
RNAcentral lists this transfer RNA (67 nucleotides) under Elaphe taeniura (beauty snake). RNAcentral describes it as "tRNA-Thr". Lineage: Eukaryota; Metazoa; Chordata; Lepidosauria; Squamata; Colubridae. The record is from RNAcentral.